GUGAGUAAUCACUUAGGAAUCUGCCUAUUAGUGGGGGGACAACAUUUCGAAAGGAAUGCUAAUACCGCAUACGUCCUACGGGAGAAAGCAGGGGAUCACUUGUGACCUUGCGCUAAUAGAUGAGCCUAAGUCGGAUUAGCUAGUUGGUGGGGUAAAGGCCUACCAAGGCGACGAUCUGUAGCGGGUCUGAGAGGAUGAUCCGCCACACUGGGACUGAGACACGGCCCAGACUCCUACGGGAGGCAGCAGUGGGGAAUAUUGGACAAUGGGGGGAACCCUGAUCCAGCCAUGCCGCGUGUGUGAAGAAGGCCUUUUGGUUGUAAAGCACUUUAAGCGAGGAGGAGGCUACUCUAGUUAAUACCUAGGGAUAGUGGACGUUACUCGCAGAAUAAGCACCGGCUAACUCUGUGCCAGCAGCCGCGGGUAUACA
Molecule: ribosomal RNA, 430 nt
Filed under: Acinetobacter sp. CSeB15_18
Lineage: Bacteria; Pseudomonadati; Pseudomonadota; Gammaproteobacteria; Moraxellales; Moraxellaceae
Description: bacterial SSU rRNA
Rfam family: Bacterial small subunit ribosomal RNA
Source: RNAcentral